Non-coding RNA from Podarcis lilfordi (Lilford's wall lizard), 68 nucleotides. The record is from the annotation of a GenBank genome assembly. Lineage: Eukaryota; Metazoa; Chordata; Lepidosauria; Squamata; Lacertidae.
GCAUUGCAUAGCGGUAGAGCAUGAGACUCUUAAUCUCAGGGUUAUGGGUUUGAGCCCCAUGUUGGGCA